GGGGUUGUGGCUCAGUGGUAGAGCGCUCGCCUCACACGUGCAGGGCUCUGGGUUCGAUCCUCAGCACCA
This is a non-coding RNA of Ictidomys tridecemlineatus (thirteen-lined ground squirrel), 69 nucleotides long. The record is from Rfam. Lineage: Eukaryota; Metazoa; Chordata; Mammalia; Rodentia; Sciuridae.